GCUACCCCCCUCUUCCUUCACGGGCCGACUCAUCGGGCCCAAACCACCUACACACCCUCAAGGCCCAACCUCACUCCAGCCCGCCCACCCUGUUAACUCUAUUGAGGGCCCUGACCCGCAGGCCUUUUGGGCCCCAUUUCCUCUCUUCCGCAAGCCCAACCAAGCUGUGAUCAGAUCCAAUUGGAGCCGUUUCGAGUGUCCAUCGUCUGCAACCACGCCCCGAUCGUCGCCCCAGUCCACGAUUACACGAUUCUGAUUGACUGCAUCCGCCAUAGGUAACAGGUUCUUUCUUUUGGGCUUGUUUAUCUAAUUAUGUUCUAGUUCUUGCAUGACAGUCCUAUUUUAAAACUUAUUUUCUUGUCAAACCGUAAAAUCUAGAAUAUUUACCGCCACACCCAUCCUACCCACCAUUUAAAUCUAAAUAUUAAAUUAGCACACUUAGCGACAGGACAGUUCUCGAUAUCCAUCAAUCAGAUUACUUUCGGAUUUUGAACGACCGUAACACGUGUUUGCAACCUAAUUUUUUAUAGUGACUAAUUUUCUACCUUAAUUCUGAAAUAACCACAGUACAGAUUAGUAAUAUUUACUUUUAAGUUAUUUUUGUGAAAAUUUGCUGAUUUUCGAAUUCAUAGUAGAUUGCAUUAGUAGGUUGUCCUGCAUUGCAUUUGGUAAGUUAGGGUUCAUUAGUAGCAUUGCAUAUCAUAUCACCAACUAGAGUAGUCCCUGCAUGCUAACCCGUAGUGGUAGAGAGUACCUCCUCACUGACUUUCAGACCCCUUUACCCACCAUGGACCCCAGAGUUCUACAAGAUAUUUUAGAACAAUUAGCUGCAUUACGAGCUGAUCAAGAUGAAUUCAAAAGAGAGAUCCGUGCUCUAGUGCAACACCCUAGGACUCCUGAACCGUCAACCCUAAUCGCAGCUUAUCCCGAGCUUGGUUUGACCAUACCACCUGUAGCUUUUUUCCAUCCCCCUAGGAACCAAAUUCCUCCUGAUCACCCAGCGUGAUCUUGACGAGCGACUACUUCGUACCUUAUGAGUAGAUGCUCCCACA
This 1052-nucleotide long non-coding RNA is filed under the name Phoenix dactylifera (date palm). RNAcentral describes it as "long non-coding RNA (PDAC_LNC016139)". The record is from RNAcentral. Lineage: Eukaryota; Viridiplantae; Streptophyta; Magnoliopsida; Arecales; Arecaceae.